UGGGGAAUAUUGCACAAUGGAGGAAACUCUGAUGCAGCGACGCCGCGUGAAGGAUGAGGUAUUUCGGUAUGUAAACUUCUAUCAGCAGGGAAGAAAAUGACGGUACCUGACUAAGAAGCCCCGGCUAACUACGUGCCAGCAGCCGCGGUAAUACGUAGGGGGCAAGCGUUAUCCGGAUUUACUGGGUGUAAAGGGAGCGUAGACGGCACGGCAAGCCAGAUGCGAAAGCCCGGGGCUCAACCCCGGGACUGCAUUUGGAACUGCUGAGCUAGAGUGUCGGAGAGGCAAGUGGAAUUCCUAGUGUAGCGGUGAAAUGCGUAGAUAUUAGGAGGAACACCAGUGGCGAAGGCGGCUUGCUGGACGAUGACUGACGUUGAGGCUCGAAAGCGCGGGGAGCAAACAGGAUUAGAUACCCUGGUAGU
This 422-nucleotide ribosomal RNA is filed under the name uncultured Dorea sp. RNAcentral describes it as "bacterial SSU rRNA". It matches the Rfam family "Bacterial small subunit ribosomal RNA", at positions 355 to 794 of the family's 1533-position model. Lineage: Bacteria; Bacillati; Bacillota; Clostridia; Lachnospirales; Lachnospiraceae. The record is from RNAcentral.